This 922-nucleotide long non-coding RNA is filed under the name Ananas comosus (pineapple). Its description in RNAcentral is "long non-coding RNA (ACOM_LNC006272)". Lineage: Eukaryota; Viridiplantae; Streptophyta; Magnoliopsida; Poales; Bromeliaceae. The record is from RNAcentral.
AACCAACCACCCACUCAACCCUAGGGGACCGCUAUCAAUUUAACCGGGGACCACUAUCAUCCUAACCGCACAUCCUUUCAUCCAACGGCUAAAAACUCAAUAGUACCAAGGGCUUGGUACUAUUGAUAGUAUAGUAGCAUAAUUCUAUAUAUAUAUAUAUAUAUAUAUAUAUAUAUAUAUAUAUAUAAAAUAAAGCUAUUAUACUCUUAUGAGUAUAAAGUCCUUCGUACUCAUAAGUUAUUUUUAAUAAUGAGAUUUUCAAAUCGACGAUUCACAUCAUUAAAUAUAAUCUAAAAUAUUUAAAAUCUCUAGAAAAUAGAUUUUGUAAUUUUUGAAAUCAUAAUAAAAUCCAUCAAUCGUGCACAAAAUGAACGGUCAAAAUCAAACGACAUUCUAAAAAUGGAUGUUCGGAUACUUCAAUUUAAAAUCAGAGUUAUUUAUCUAAAUAGUGAAUAGAAUUUUCUAUCAAAAAUUCAAUCGAUUUCGAUUCUUUUACACCCUUAAACUAGUAAAUAUCCCACACAGACCGUUAAAAAUUAUUAAUUUGAGAUCUUUUAAUUGCAAGGUGAAUGUUCGGAUACUUCAAUUUAAAAUCAGAGUUAUUUAUCUAAAUAGUGAAUAGAAUUUUCUAUCAAAAAUUCAAUCGUUUUCGAUUCUUUUACACCCUUAAACUAGUAAAUAUCCCACACAGACCGUUAAAAAUUAUUAAUUUGAGAUCUUUUAAUUGCAAGGUGAAUAAUAUAAAAAAAUUAUGAAAUUUAAUUUCUAAAAAUUUUAAAUGCACUUGAUAAUAUUUAAUAAUAUGAAUCGUUGAUUCAGAAGCUCUAUCAUCGAAAACAACUUAUAAGUACGAAGGCGAUCGUACUCAUAAAAGUGUAGUAGUCGAACUCUCUCUCUCUCUCUCUAUAUAAUAACCCUUAUU